UGUGUGUGGAGGUGUCCCUCAGCCUGGAAUGUGAGGGGGCGCAGGACAGGCUGAGGGACCCCAUCGGUGCACA
RNAcentral lists this microRNA precursor (73 nucleotides) under Myotis davidii. RNAcentral's name for it is "mir-9193 microRNA precursor family". It matches the Rfam family "mir-9193 microRNA precursor family". The record is from Rfam by way of RNAcentral. Lineage: Eukaryota; Metazoa; Chordata; Mammalia; Chiroptera; Vespertilionidae.